This 253-nucleotide ribosomal RNA is filed under the name uncultured bacterium. Its description in RNAcentral is "partial 16S ribosomal RNA". It matches the Rfam family "Bacterial small subunit ribosomal RNA", at positions 524 to 776 of the family's 1533-position model. The record is from RNAcentral.
GACGAACCGUGCGAACGUUGUUCGGAAUCACUGGGCUUAAAGGGCGCGUAGGCGGGUUGCCAAGUCUGGGGUGAAAUCCUCCGGCUCAACCGGAGAACGGCCUCGGAUACUGGCGGUCUCGAGGGAGGUAGGGGCGUGCGGAACUAAGGGUGGAGCGGUGAAAUGCGUUGAUAUCCUUAGGAACUCCGGUGGCGAAGGCGGCACGCUGGACCGCUUCUGACGCUGAGGCGCGAAAGCCAGGGGAGCAAACGGG